RNAcentral lists this ribosomal RNA (486 nucleotides) under Pichia manshurica. Its description in RNAcentral is "eukaryotic LSU rRNA". It matches the Rfam family "Eukaryotic large subunit ribosomal RNA", at positions 38 to 536 of the family's 3401-position model. Lineage: Eukaryota; Fungi; Ascomycota; Pichiomycetes; Pichiales; Pichiaceae. The record is from RNAcentral.
GCAUAUCAAUAAGCGGAGGAAAAGAAACCAACAGGGAUUGCCCCAGUAGCGGCGAGUGAAGCGGCAAGAGCUCAGAUUUGAAAUCGUGUUUCGGCACGAGUUGUAGAGUGUAGGCGGGAGUCUCUGUGGAGCGCGGUGUCCAAGUCCCUUGGAACAGGGUGCCUGAGAGGGUGAGAGCCCCGUAGGGUGCUGCGCGAAGCUUUUGAGGCCCUGCUGACGAGUCGAGUUGUUUGGGAAUGCAGCUCCAAGCGGGUGGUAAAUUCCAUCUAAGGCUAAAUAUUGGCGAGAGACCGAUAGCGAACAAGUACUGUGAAGGAAAGAUGAAAAGCACUUUGAAAAGAGAGUGAAACAGCACGUGAAAUUGUUGAAAGGGAAGGGUAUUGGGCUCGACAUGGGGGGUGCGCACCGCUGUCUCUUGUAGGCGGCGCUCUGGGCGCCCUCUGGGCCAGCAUCGGUUCCUGCUGCGGGAGAAGGGGCUCCGGAAAG